Long non-coding RNA from Cephus cinctus (wheat stem sawfly), 955 nucleotides. RefSeq lists it as uncharacterized. The record is from RefSeq and is a predicted model, not a curated record. The transcript is spliced from 4 exons. NCBI's taxonomy places the organism in Eukaryota, Metazoa, Arthropoda, Insecta, Hymenoptera, Cephidae.
CCGGAAUGGGUAUAGGUGCUGGCGCUUGGCCUUUGGUGUAUCCCACAGGACCAGCUGGUCUUUGAUACAGCUGUGGUCCUCCGGCGUAAACAUCUUCGUAGUCGCCGUUUCCUCGAGCAUUCCUGGGCUUUAUGCUUCUACCGGAUUGUUGAGGUGGCUGCGUUACCCUGGUACCAUAUAUGAGACUGUUCCUGUCGUACUCGGACAUUGGACUCUUGCUGCUCAACCUGGCAUCCGGGGAGACUGGCGACUUCCUGUAAUCCGGAUCUGGCGACGGCGUCGAAUACUCAUUGGAGCCAUCGUUGAAUGAGAGAAAUCAGCCGAAACGUGAUUCUGGGUAAAACCCGAGGAGUUGGCGAAUGGCUGCAUCAAUGAGCAUAAGACCCUCGGAGCCCUGCUUGUGGAGCCACCCCUGCAAUGCAACAGGGGCGGAUAAAGGCCUCUUGGCAGCCGGUGAUCGAAGUCCCUGGGGUCCACUUCGUCUGCGCACCCCUGAGACAGCGGCAGCAACCCCUGGACCAUCGCCGCCGCUCUUUCGCCGCACCUGAAGGGACGCGGCUGGCGUCGCCAUCUGGACGACCUGAAAUACGAGAAAUGGCGCAAACACCUUUAUUAUAUAACUAGCGUGAGUUGAACAGGAUUCAUACUUUUUGUCAUCAAUGUAUUUAUUCUUUCUUUUUGUCAUUUUCUUCUUCUUUUUCUUUCUGGCGGAAUUAUUCAGAACUAAGGAAAAGUGUUCCCCACAAAAAUGUAAUUUUUUGGAGUAACUUGUGCUUAUUGGGAUAACUCCAAUGCAUUAGAGCUAUUCAUAACGAAUUAUCCAGGGAAACGAAAUAUUUUUUAUAACUGAAUAAUAUGCCUUUGAAUUUUACUUAUUGCGUUUAAUUAAUUUGACAAGAGAUGUAAUUAAAUUGUAAUAAAUCAACACGAAUAAAAUAUGACUACAUACAUAGAA